This 71-nucleotide transfer RNA is filed under the name bacterium. RNAcentral describes it as "tRNA-Met". It matches the Rfam family "tRNA". Rfam says of the family: Transfer RNA (tRNA) molecules are approximately 80 nucleotides in length. The record is from RNAcentral.
AGCGGGUUAGAGGAACGGCACCUCAUCAGGCUCAUAACCUGGGGAACCUGGUUCGACUCCAGGACCCGCAA